UGGGGAAUAUUGGACAAUGGGGGCAACCCUGAUCCAGCGAUGCCGCGUGAGUGAAGAAGGCCCUCGGGUCGUAAAGCUCUUUAGGUUGGGAAGAAGGGUGUAUGAGGAAAUGCAUACACUUUGACGGUACCGACAGAAUAAGCACCGGCAAACUCUGUGCCAGCAGCCGCGGUAAUACAGAGGGUGCGAGCGUUAAUCGGAGUUACUGGGCGUAAAGGGCGCGUAGGCGGUAAAAUGUGUGUGAUGUGAAAGCCCCGGGCUUAACCUGGGAAGUGCAUCGCAAACUGUUUAACUAGAGUAGAUGAGAGGGUGGUGGAAUUUCCGGUGUAGCGGUGAAAUGCGUAGAGAUCGGAAGGAACGUCAAUGGCGAAGGCAGCCACCUGGCAUCAUACUGACGCUGAGGCGCGAAAGCGUGGGGAGCGAACAGGAUUAGAUACCCCGGUAGUCC
RNAcentral lists this ribosomal RNA (448 nucleotides) under uncultured bacterium. RNAcentral's name for it is "bacterial SSU rRNA". It matches the Rfam family "Bacterial small subunit ribosomal RNA", at positions 355 to 796 of the family's 1533-position model. The record is from RNAcentral.